This 482-nucleotide ribosomal RNA is filed under the name uncultured bacterium. RNAcentral's name for it is "partial 16S ribosomal RNA". It matches the Rfam family "Bacterial small subunit ribosomal RNA", at positions 28 to 507 of the family's 1533-position model. The record is from RNAcentral.
GAUGAACGCUAGCGGCAGGCCUAAUACAUGCAAGUCGGACGGGAUUCAGGAGCUUGCUUCUGAUGAGAGUGGCGCACGGGUGCGUAACACGUAUGUAACCUACCUUUAUCAGGGGGAUAGCCUCUCGAAAGAGAGAUUAAGCCCGCAUAAAAUCACAGCACAGCAUUGUGUAAUGAUCAAAUAUUUAUAGGAUAAAGAUGGGCAUGCGGAACAUUAGCUAGAUGGCGGGGUAACGGCCCACCAUGGCGACGAUGUUUAGGGGAUCUGAGAGGAUGGCCCCCCACACUGGUACUGAGACACGGACCAGACUCCUACGGGAGGCAGCAGUAAGGAAUAUUGGUCAAUGGGCGGAAGCCUGAACCAGCCAUGCCGCGUGCAGGAAGACGGCCCUACGGGUUGUAAACUGCUUUUAGACGGGAAUAAACCCAGAUACGUGUAUCUGGCUGAAUGUACUGUAAGAAUAAGAAUCGGCUAACUCCGUG